RNAcentral lists this ribosomal RNA (1501 nucleotides) under uncultured bacterium. Its description in RNAcentral is "bacterial SSU rRNA". It matches the Rfam family "Bacterial small subunit ribosomal RNA". The record is from RNAcentral.
AGAGUUUGAUCCUGGCUCAGAUUGAACGCUGGCGGUAUGCUUAACACAUGCAAGUCGAACGGAAACGAAACUAGCUUGCUAGUAGGCGUCGAGUGGCGGACGGGUGAGUAACGCGUAGGAAUCUGCCUGAUAGUGGGGGAUAGCCCGAAGAAAUUCGGAUUAAUACCGCAUAAUCUAUUCGUAGUAAAGUGGGGGACUUUCGAGCCUCACGCUAUCAGAUGAGCCUGCGUAAGAUUAGCUUGUUGGUAGGGUAAAAGCCUACCAAGGCAACGAUCUUUAGCUGGUCUGAGAGGAUGAUCAGCCACAUCGGGACUGAGACACGGCCCGAACUCCUACGGGAGGCAGCAGUGGGGAAUAUUGGACAAUGGGGGCAACCCUGAUCCAGCAAUACCGCGUGUGUGAAGAAGGCCUGAGGGUUGUAAAGCACUUUCAAUUGUGAAGAAAAGUUAACGGUUAAUAACCGUUGACCUUGACGUUAACUUUAGAAGAAGCACCGGCUAACUCCGUGCCAGCAGCCGCGGUAAUACGGAGGGUGCAAGCGUUAAUCGGAAUUACUGGGCGUAAAGCGUGCGUAGGCGGUUUAUUAAGUCAGAUGUGAAAGCCCCGGGCUUAACCUGGGAACUGCAUUUGAAACUGGUCAACUAGAGUAUGGUAGAGGAAAGUGGAAUUUCUGGUGUAGCGGUGAAAUGCGUAGAUAUCAGAAGGAACAUCAAUGGCGAAGGCAGCUUUCUGGACCAAUACUGACGCUGAGGUACGAAAGCGUGGGUAGCAAACAGGAUUAGAUACCCUGGUAGUCCACGCCGUAAACGAUGAUAACUAGCCGUUGGGGGGAUUUACCCCUUAGUGGCGAAGCUAACGCGUUAAGUUAUCCGCCUGGGGAGUACGGCCGCAAGGCUAAAACUCAAAGGAAUUGACGGGGACCCGCACAAGCGGUGGAGCAUGUGGUUUAAUUCGAUGCAACGCGAAGAACCUUACCUGGUCUUGACAUCCUGCGAACUUUCUAGAAAUAGAUUGGUGCCUUCGGGAACGCAGUGACAGGUGCUGCAUGGCUGUCGUCAGCUCGUGUCGUGAGAUGUUGGGUUAAGUCCCGUAACGAGCGCAACCCCUAUCCUUAUUUGCCAGCACAUUAUGGUGGGAACUAUAAGGAGACUGCCGGUGAUAAACCGGAGGAAGGCGGGGACGACGUCAAGUCAUCAUGGCCCUUACGACCAGGGCUACACACGUGCUACAAUGGGAAGGACAAAGAGCCGCGAAGCCGCGAGGUGUAGCUAAUCUCAUAAAUCUUUUCGUAGUCCGGAUUGGAGUCUGCAACUCGACUCCAUGAAGUCGGAAUCGCUAGUAAUCGUAGAUCAGAAUGCUACGGUGAAUACGUUCCCGGGUCUUGUACACACCGCCCGUCAUACCAUGGGAGUGGGUUGCACCAGAAGUGGCUAGUCUAACUUAGUGAGGACGGUCACCACGGUGUGAUUCAUGACUGGGGUAAAGUCGUAACAAGGUAACC